RNAcentral lists this long non-coding RNA (159 nucleotides) under Sipha flava (yellow sugarcane aphid). RNAcentral's name for it is "uncharacterized LOC112694033". The record is from RNAcentral. Lineage: Eukaryota; Metazoa; Arthropoda; Insecta; Hemiptera; Aphididae.
CUGUAUUUACUAUAUUUCACUAUAUCUAAUACUGUAAGUUUAAAUUUUUUAUACCUACGUACCACGAUUUGUACACAAACACCUAAAUACAUAAUGGAGUUAGAUGAUUAUGACAAUUUAUUUAAAGUGAUUGCUGUCGCAGAAGCAUUUGGUGAAUUA